RNA transcript from Prunus dulcis (almond), 2055 nucleotides. It is a transcript of the gene named probable cyclic nucleotide-gated ion channel 20, chloroplastic, with no coding region annotated. The record is from RefSeq and is a predicted model, not a curated record. NCBI's taxonomy places the organism in Eukaryota, Viridiplantae, Streptophyta, Magnoliopsida, Rosales, Rosaceae. The transcript is spliced from 4 exons.
CUCUUCUCUCUCACGAUACUCACUCUCUUCAUUUCUUUUCCUCCAUCGAUCUCUUCUACAUCCUCAAUCUCUGCCGUCAUCCUCUCUGUUCUCCAUCCAUCUCUGCCGCCAUCUUCUUUCUCCUCCGUCUCUACCGCCAUCUUCUCCUAAACCCUAAAAAUUAGAACCAACUAAACCUAAUUUCUAAGCCCUCUUUUGAUAUCUCAAAUUUGAUUUGAUUCGAAUCCAUAUUUGAGGACGCGAUGGGCGAUUUCAACCUCUCACGCUUCAUCGUCGCCAUUAUCUAGAUCUGAGGUAAAUUUGGCAACUACUUCAUAGAGAGAUUUGACGAGUAGCAAGUGAUGAAUCCAACAAGGGGAGUUGGAAUGUACAGAUCCAAGAAACCCAAAGAUGAGAAGGAAGCAGUUUCAAGCAUCUUAGAGGACCUACAUACUUGCACAAAAUGACAUGGUAUCUGUGUAGGCUAAUGCUUGUUUUGAUGAAGACGGUUUCUCCUAUGGAAUCUACACUAAAGCUGUCAAGCUCACUACAGCAGAUACCGUGACUAGCUCUGUAUACUCAUUGUUUUGGGGAUUCCAGCAAAUCAGAACUCUGGCAGGAAAUCAAGUUCCAAGCUACUUUGUUUGGGAAGUCCUUUUUACCAUGGAAAUUAUUGGACAGGGCCUCUUGCUCUUUGCUCUUCUAAUUGUAAAUAUGCAUAAUUUUCUUCAAUCUCUUGGAUGGAGGUACUACUUUCUACUAUCGUUUCUGCUUCUUAAAUGUUCUACAUGCCAAAGCUGGUUGAAGGGAUAUAGGGUAAAUUUUCUAUAUGAUUUCCACCAUCUAUUAUUGUUCUGGUUGUCUUGAAAUACAUGUCUUAUACCCUGUGAUAUUUAUAUGGAUAUUGCUUUAUUGUUUGUGAACUCACCCCUUGGCUCAUAUACCUCAUCACAUGUAUAAACGGUGCUUAUGUCCUAGGAUACUCCAGAAAUUUCAUGCUUCCUUUAGGUUAAAUAGACAGUGUAAUCCAGUAGCUUACUCAGGUAUUCAUAACCAAAAAAUUUUAAGUUUUUGAUAAUUUGGCCACUGUUUUUUCUGCUGGAAAUAUUUUGUGCUUCAAAGAGGAAAGGGCAUAGAGAAUGUAGGGAGAUUUAACUAUCUGAAUGAAACUUGUUGGGGAUAGAUCAAAGAAGGGAGAAAGUGUGAUGGAUUUGUUCUAUGGAAGUGGGGAUUUGGCGAGAUAAGCUAGCGGCCUAGAACUAGAACCUCUCUGGUUUAAGUUACUGUUCAAUUAAUUAGUAAUAUGGUAUGCCUUAAAAAGAAGUAUGUUCUCAUUUCCUAAUCUUGUAUAUAUGUUUCUCUCUCACAAUUUGGUUUAAUUGUAUUUUAAUUUGCAUGCAAUUGAUUUAUAAAGUAUACAUCUUUGUGGAAUGCCAGACUUGGGGCCAUUGACAUCAUCACCUUCAUCAUUAUCCUCCACAUCCAGUACUACUAACUCUGUAUAGAAUAAAUACUGGGGGCUGAUAGAUCUGUAAACACCUUUUCCAAUCUUUUUGCUGAGUUUGGAGUUUAAGCUUAAAGUUAUGAGAACAUUUUUUUUUUUUUUUCUGAUCUUGUUUUUAUGUACUUUUCCUAAUUAGAUUAGAUCUUGCUGUUAGCUAAAGUUGCAGGCUCUGAGUUUGGUAUCAUCUUUUGACCAUAUAGUUUUUGGUUAGGGGUGGUUUGCAUUCUCUCCUCGUUAUUGCAUUCUUGAUACCCUCAGGUUCGACAUACUACAACAAGUUGAGGCCACUAAGCUAUAGAGGUGCAGACAUACUAUUACUAUAGCAGAUUUGUAAACACCAAGAUCACACUGAAUGUGGAGACCAAGUACAAAUUGUGGAAGACACAACAACUAUAGGUUAAUGCUUUGGAAAUGGUAUUUUGUAAUUAUAGGUUAAUGCUAUGGAUAUGGUAUUUUGUAUGGAUAUAGUAGGAAUCAAGAUUGGUAAAUAAUGUAAUUACUUUUGAAUCUUCAAGUUUUAUGUAAUUACUUUUGAAUCUUCAAGUUUUAUGUAAUUACUUUUGAAUCUUCAA